GCCUGUGUGGUGUAGUGGUUUGAGCAUUGGACUAGCACUAGAGGCCAGGGUUUGAAUCCCUGCUUGGCCA
Molecule: transfer RNA, 70 nt
Filed under: Phrynosoma platyrhinos (Desert horned lizard)
Lineage: Eukaryota; Metazoa; Chordata; Lepidosauria; Squamata; Phrynosomatidae
Description: tRNA-OTHER
Source: RNAcentral